This 460-nucleotide ribosomal RNA is filed under the name uncultured Pseudomonas sp. Its description in RNAcentral is "bacterial SSU rRNA". It matches the Rfam family "Bacterial small subunit ribosomal RNA", at positions 30 to 482 of the family's 1533-position model. Lineage: Bacteria; Pseudomonadati; Pseudomonadota; Gammaproteobacteria; Pseudomonadales; Pseudomonadaceae. The record is from RNAcentral.
AUUGAACGCUGGCGGCAGGCCUAACACAUGCAAGUCGAGCGGCAGCACGGGUACUUGUACCUGGUGGCGAGCGGCGGACGGGUGAGUAAUGCCUAGGAAUCUGCCUGGUAGUGGGGGAUAACGCUCGGAAACGGACGCUAAUACCGCAUACGUCCUACGGGAGAAAGCAGGGGACCUUCGGGCCUUGCGCUAUCAGAUGAGCCUAGGUCGGAUUAGCUAGUUGGUGAGGUAAUGGCUCACCAAGGCGACGAUCCGUAACUGGUCUGAGAGGAUGAUCAGUCACACUGGAACUGAGACACGGUCCAGACUCCUACGGGAGGCAGCAGUGGGGAAUAUUGGACAAUGGGCGAAAGCCUGAUCCAGCCAUGCCGCGUGUGUGAAGAAGGUCUUCGGAUUGUAAAGCACUUUAAGUUGGGAGGAAGGGCAGUUACCUAAUACGUAUCUGUUUUGACGUGCCGAC